ACUGAACGGCGGACGGGUGAGUAACGCGUGGGUAACCUGCCUCAUACAGGGGGAUAACAGUUGGAAACGGCUGCUAAUACCGCAUAAGCGCACAGUACCGCAUGGUACGGUGUGAAAAACUCCGGUGGUAUGAGAUGGACCCGCGUCUGAUUAGGUAGUUGGUGGGGUAACGGCCUACCAAGCCGACGAUCAGUAGCCGACCUGAGAGGGUGACCGGCCACAUUGGGACUGAGACACGGCCCAA
This 244-nucleotide ribosomal RNA is filed under the name uncultured bacterium. RNAcentral describes it as "partial 16S ribosomal RNA". It matches the Rfam family "Bacterial small subunit ribosomal RNA", at positions 90 to 334 of the family's 1533-position model. The record is from RNAcentral.